GAUGAACGCUGGCGGCGUGCCUAAUACAUGCCAGUCGAGCGAACAGAUGAGGAGCUUGCUCCUCUGACGUUAGCGGCGGACGGGUGAGUAACACGUGGAUAACCUACCUAUAAGACUGGGAUAACUUCGGGAAACCGGAGCUAAUACCGGAUAAUAUAUUGAACCGCAUGGUUCAAUAGUGAAAGACGGUUUUGCUUUCACUUAUAGAUGGAUCCGCGCCGCAUUAGCUAGUUGGUAAGGUAACGGCUUACCAAGGCAACGAUGCGUAGCCGACCUGAGAGGGUGAUCGGCCACACUGGAACUGAGACACGGUCCAGACUCCUACGGGAGGCAGCAGUAGGGAAUCUUCCGCAAUGGGCGAAAGCCUGACGGAGCAACGCCGCGUGAGUGAUGAAGGUCUUCGGAUCGUAAAACUCUGUUAUUAGGGAAGAACAAAUGUGUAAGUAACUAUGCACGUCUUGACGGUACCUAAUCAGAAAGCCACGGCUAACUACGUG
This 497-nucleotide ribosomal RNA is filed under the name uncultured bacterium. RNAcentral describes it as "partial 16S ribosomal RNA". It matches the Rfam family "Bacterial small subunit ribosomal RNA", at positions 28 to 507 of the family's 1533-position model. The record is from RNAcentral.